Molecule: ribosomal RNA, 956 nt
Filed under: uncultured Syndiniales
Lineage: Eukaryota; Dinophyceae; Syndiniales
Description: SSU rRNA
Rfam family: Eukaryotic small subunit ribosomal RNA
Source: RNAcentral
UGUUGCGGUUGAAAGCUCGUAGUUGGGUUUCUGCGGAGGAAGCGCGGUCCGCACUUGGUGCGUGUAUCUGGUCUACCUACGCAUCUUCCAGUGAAACGCUACUGCGCUUUAUUGCGUGGCGCGGCAAUCUGGACUUUUACUUUGAGGAAAUUGGAGUGUUUACAGCGAGCGAUUGGUUUGAACAUAUUAGCAUGGAAUAAUAACCUAGAACCUUGGUUCUAUUUUGUUGGUUUCUAGACUAGGGUAAUGAUCAAUAGGGAUAAUUGGGGGCAUUUGUAUCAACACGUCAGAGGUGAAAUUCUUGGAUUGUGUUACGACGAACCACUGCGAAAGCAUUUGCCAAGGAUGUUUUCAUUGAUCAAGAACGAAAGUGCAGGGAUCGAAGACGAUUAGAUACCGUCGUAUUUUGCACCGUAAACUAUGCCGAUUAAAGAUUGGAGGUCGUUCUUAUUGUGGCUCCUUCAGUAAUUUAUGAGAAAUCAAAAUUCUUGGGUUCCGGGGGGAGUAUGGUCGCAAGGCUGAAACUUAAAGGAAUUGACGGAAGGGCACCACCAGGAGUGGAGCCUGCGGCUUAAUUUGACUCAACACGGGGAAACUCACCAGGUCCAGACAUAGCAAGGAUUGACAGAAUGACAGCUCUUUCUUGAUUCUGUGGGUGGUGGUGCAUGGCCGUUCUUAGUUGGUGGAGUGAUUUGUCUGGUUAAUUCCGUUAACGAACGAGAUCUUAUCCUGCUAAAUAGGAACGUGUGUCUUCGGACAUGCAGGUUGCUUCUUAGAGGGACUUUGCGAAUUGAAGCGUAGGGAAGGUUGAGGCAAUAACAGGUCUGUGAUGCCCUUAGAUGUUCUGGGCUGCACGCGCGCUACACUGAUGCGUUCAACGAGUAUGCCUUGUCCGGCAGGACUGGGGAAUCUUGUGAAAGCGCGUCGUGAUGGGGAUAGAACACUGUAAUUAUUGU